ACCCGCUGAACUUAAGCAUAUCCAUAAGCGGAGGAAAAGAAACUAACAAGGAUUCCCCUAGUAACGGCGAGUGGGGCGGGAUGAGCUCAAAUUUAAAAUCUGGCUGGUUUACUAGUCCGAAUUGUAGUUUAAAGAAGCGUUUUCGGUGGCAGCCUGGGUAUAAAUCCUUUGGAACAGGGUAUCAUAGAGGGUGAGAAUCCCGUCUUUGACUCAGUGCAUGCUACUAUGUGAUACGUUUUCAAAGAGUCGAGUUGUUUGGGAAUGCAGCUCAAAAUGGGUGGUAAAUUUCAUCUAAGGCUAAAUAUUGGCGAGAGACCGAUAGCGAACAAGUACCGUGAGGGAAAGAUGAAAAGAACUUUGAAAAGAGAGUUAAACAGUGCGUGAAAUUGUUGAAAGGGAAACGCUUGACACCAGUCAUGCGAGCGGAAAAUCAGUCUUUUGCAGUGGGGAGUUGUGUGGGUUCGGACCGCAAGGCCGGCCUGCGCUGCAUCUCUGCUGUAAGUGAUGCACUUUUUCGUUUGCAGGCCAACAUCAGUUUCUUCUGCUGGACAAAACUCUUGAGAAGGUAGCAGCUUUGGCUGUGUUAUAGCUCUUGAGCGAUACAGUGGAGGGGACUGAGGUUUUCGCAGCGCGUGCUCUCGGGCAAGGCUGAUUGGGUGCUAUGGGAUCGUUCGGUGUACAAUGCUUGCAUUUUGCGCCGUGUCUUUUCUGCACUCGCUCAACUCGGCUCUUCCGCGCUUAGGAUGUUGGCUUAAUGGUUUUAAUCGACCCGUCUUGAAACACGGACC
RNAcentral lists this ribosomal RNA (788 nucleotides) under uncultured zygomycete. Its description in RNAcentral is "eukaryotic LSU rRNA". It matches the Rfam family "Eukaryotic large subunit ribosomal RNA", at positions 23 to 667 of the family's 3401-position model. The record is from RNAcentral. Lineage: Eukaryota; Fungi.